UACGGAGGAUGCGAGCGUUAUCCGGAUUUAUUGGGUUUAAAGGGUGCGCAGGCGGCGAGUUAAGUCAGCGGUAAAAUUUCGGGGCUCAACCCCGACAAGCCGUUGAAACUGGCUUGCUAGAGUGGGCGAGAAGUAUGCGGAAUGCGUGGUGUAGCGGUGAAAUGCAUAGAUAUCACGCAGAACUCCGAUUGCGAAGGCAGCAUACCGGCGCCCAACUGACGCUCAGGCACGAAAGCGUGGGUAUCGAACAG
Molecule: ribosomal RNA, 251 nt
Filed under: uncultured bacterium
Lineage: Bacteria
Description: partial 16S ribosomal RNA
Rfam family: Bacterial small subunit ribosomal RNA
Source: RNAcentral